CUAGCUUUGUGUAAUAUACAUUGUCGAUGGUGUAUGUCAAUAAUUAUUAGGCUUUUGUUUCGACGGUUUGACGUGUUUUCGAAUAAAAUGGCGUAUCGAAAUGACCAUGGUUAUUAACUUCUUGUAGUAUAUUUCAGUGGCGACGAGGAUGGGAUUAUAUAAAAAACCUUUACAAGAAACUCUAUCAGUUAAACAAAUAAAACGGAAGAAGUUUCCAGGAAAGCCAGGAAUUCACCAAAAGUAAAAAUACUUUCUGAUAAUCUGGAUCCCAUUCUUCAUUUACCCAUGUACCAAGAUAUUUGUGCAUUGAAACUCUUUCGAGUGUUGUACAUGUGAGAGUUCUUAUUGAGGUUUGUUGCGGUU
Long non-coding RNA from Maniola jurtina (meadow brown), 363 nucleotides. RefSeq lists it as uncharacterized. The record is from RefSeq and is a predicted model, not a curated record. NCBI's taxonomy places the organism in Eukaryota, Metazoa, Arthropoda, Insecta, Lepidoptera, Nymphalidae. The transcript is spliced from 2 exons.